Molecule: ribosomal RNA, 38 nt
Filed under: Elytraria planifolia
Lineage: Eukaryota; Viridiplantae; Streptophyta; Magnoliopsida; Lamiales; Acanthaceae
Description: partial 18S ribosomal RNA
Source: RNAcentral
AUCGACGUCGGGGGGAUCCCCGCGGCGCCGCUGCCCCC